Molecule: ribosomal RNA, 205 nt
Filed under: uncultured bacterium
Lineage: Bacteria
Description: partial 16S ribosomal RNA
Rfam family: Bacterial small subunit ribosomal RNA
Source: RNAcentral
UACAGAGGGUGCUAGCGUUGUUCGGAAUUACUGGGCGUAAAGCGCGUGUAGGCUGCUUCGCAAGUCGGAUGUGAAAGCCCUGGGCUCAACCCAGGAAGUGCAUUCGAAAACUGCAGAGCUGGAGUCCUGGAGAGGAAGGCGGAAUUCUCGGUGUAGAGGUGAAAUUCGUAGAUAUCGAGAGGAACACCGGUGGCGAAGGCGGCCU